This 440-nucleotide ribosomal RNA is filed under the name uncultured bacterium. RNAcentral describes it as "partial 16S ribosomal RNA". It matches the Rfam family "Bacterial small subunit ribosomal RNA", at positions 338 to 795 of the family's 1533-position model. The record is from RNAcentral.
CCUACGGGUGGCAGCAGUGGGGAAUAUUGCACAAUGGGGGAAACCCUGAUGCAGCGACGCCGCGUGAGUGAAGAAGUAUUUCGGUACGUAAAGCUCUAUCAGCAGGGAAGAAGAUGACGGUACCUGACUAAGAAGCCCCGGCUAACUACGUGCCAGCAGCCGCGGUAAUACGUAGGGGGCAAGCGUUAUCCGGAUUUACUGGGUGUAAAGGGAGCGUAGACGGCAGGGCAAGUCUGGAGUGAAAGCCCGGGGCCCAACCCCGGGACUGCUUUGGAAACUGCCAUGCUAGAGGGCUGGAGAGGUAAGCGGAAUUCCUAGUGUAGCGGUGAAAUGCGUAGAUAUUAGGAGGAACACCAGUGGCGAAGGCGGCUUACUGGACAGUAACUGACGUUGAGGCUCGAAAGCGUGGGGAGCAAACAGGAUUAGAUACCCCUGUAGUC